AGCUUUGAGCAGUGGCAGUAUCGUAGCCAAUGAGGUUUAUCCGAGGCGCGAUUAUUGCUAAUUGAAAACUUUUCCCAAUACCCCGCCGUGACGACUUGCAAGCAGAUUUUUUUCCUUGAUAGUA
Small nuclear RNA from Mesocricetus auratus (golden hamster), 124 nucleotides. Its record names the gene U4. It matches the Rfam family "U4 spliceosomal RNA". From Rfam's summary of the family: U4 small nuclear RNA (U4 snRNA) is a component of the major U2-dependent spliceosome. NCBI's taxonomy places the organism in Eukaryota, Metazoa, Chordata, Mammalia, Rodentia, Cricetidae. The record is from Ensembl.